CCAUCACCUUUUCAAGUCUCGCUCAAUCUUCCCCCUCUUCACGGUGCAGGGUCUCAGUCGUCCGGGUCCGACGUGCCGACGCUUUUCGAAGCGCGCGGUUGACGCUGGUUGACGCUUGCUCCGUGCUCCGUGCGUUCUCAACGAUUCUCCACGAAUACGACACGAUGUACCCUCCCCUCUUUCGUUUACCAACUGAACUCGCUAGCGGUAACUAACGCGUAAAGCCUGCUCCGGCUGAUUUCAGACCGAACACGUUUAUCGCGGCGAUCGAUAAUUCCGCAGCGCAGAGAGAGAGAGAGAGAGAGAGAGAGUGAGAGAGAAAGGAGGUGGAGAAGGGGAGGGAGAGGGAUCGAAGCCCCGCGGAAGUACCGUCGUCGUGCCGUAACGUGGUGGUGUCUGGUGACCGCGCCGCGCGCGCACGGACCCAUCGUGAGCGUGACGCGACGCGAGCGAGAAUCGUCAAUCGGAUUUCUGUAGCGCGGAAACGGCGCGCGUUACCGGACUAACCGGAGAGAGGUACCCUAGGUACGAAAAAUAGAGAGAGAGAGAGAGAGAGAAAAAGAGGGCGGAUGGAGUAAUAAAGAAAGCCGAAAGUGAGAGGAAAAGAGUGAGAAAGAGAGAGAGAGAGAGAGAGAGAGAGAGAGAAGGGAGGCGGAUUCUCUUUCGGUGGCUUGGACGACCGUUAUGAAUUGACCGAAUGGCGCAGGCACGGCUCAGCUGUACGAUCAAAUAAUGCGUCUUUCUUCUGGAAACUCCUCUCGUUCGGAUGACAGCGCUUACUAGCGACGAACGUAGGGUGACGUUGGUGAGAAAGUAUGGAGCGUCCGUCGAGCGUCGCAGUUACAACUCGCUCGAGUCAAUGCUGCAUUUAGCCUUGCGUUUCGAUAGUUUUUAAUGCGAGAGAAACAGUACGUUGUUAAGGCACAGUGAUCCAAACUCCUGUAAGGAGAAAUGGAUACGGUGUGCGACGAGGACAGGCGGAGACGCCUGCGAGCUUUGGAGGAGCGUAUAAAGGAUCCGAGAAGCGUUACCAACAUCGAUUGCUUGUUGGAUACGGUUCAAGCCCUGGUAACAGAUUGCGAUCACGCAAGCGUGAAACGUAUGAAAAAUAUAGAAGCUUAUAUGAAUAGAUAUGACUCUGUAGCCCAAGAGAUUUAUAAAAUGCGAAUGCGCACGGACGAUUUUACUUUAAUCAAAGUGAUCGGCCGCGGCGCGUUUGGAGAGGUACAAUUGGUUAGACACAAAUCUACGCAAAAAGUUUACGCUAUGAAAUUACUUAGUAAAUUUGAAAUGAUUAAAAGAUCGGAUUCCGCAUUUUUUUGGGAAGAGAGGGACAUAAUGGCUCACGCCAACUCACCAUGGAUAGUCCAGCUCCACUUUGCGUUCCAAGACCAAAAGUAUCUCUAUAUGGUGAUGGAUUACAUGCCGGGCGGGGAUCUGGUCAACUUGAUGUCGAAUUACGAAGUGCCGGAGAAAUGGGCAAAAUUUUACUGCGCCGAGGUGGUGCUGGCAUUGGACGCGAUACAUAAUAUGGGUUUCGUUCACAGAGACGUGAAACCGGACAACAUGUUGCUCGAUAGGCAUGGCCAUUUGAAGCUUGCUGACUUUGGUACAUGUAUGAGGAUGGAUGUUGAUGGUUUAGUACGGUCCGAUACCGCGGUUGGUACACCCGAUUAUAUAUCUCCGGAAGUUCUGCAGUCGCAAGGUGGAGAAGGAGUGUACGGUCGCGAAUGCGAUUGGUGGUCCGUCGGCGUCUUUUUGUACGAAAUGUUAUUUGGCGAUACGCCAUUCUUCGCCGACUCUUUAGUCGGCACGUAUUCCAAGAUCAUGGACCACAGAAAUUCGCUCUACUUUCCUCAGAAUGUGGAGAUAUCUCACUCAGCGAAGAACUUGAUAUGCGGUUUCCUCACCGACAGGACGAAGCGCCUCGGUCGCAAUGGCGUCGACGAGAUCAAAAGUCAUUCGUUUUUCAAGAAUGAUCAAUGGACCUUCGACAAUCUGAGGGAAUGCGUACCGCCGGUAGUGCCGGAGCUUUCCGGAGACGACGACACCAGCAAUUUCGACGAUGUCGAUAAAGAGGAUGGACCAGAGGAGAGUUUUCCAAUACCUAAAGCUUUCUCUGGAAAUCAUCUGCCUUUUAUCGGAUUCACUUACUCGGGCGAUUAUCAAUUAAUGGUUUCUUACGGCAAAGAAUCUGUCGACGGUCUCGAGAAUCAUGUCAAUAAUGGCACUACCGACGAUAUCAAGAUCUCGCAGCUGGAGAAUUUACUGGAACGCGAGAGGCGACAAGUAGAGACGAUGGAGUCGAGGCAGAAGGUAUUAAACACGCAAUUGGAAGCUAUGGCGUGCCGAGAAGCCGACCUGCGCGAGGAAGUUGGCAGAGCGGACAAGGAGUUGACUCUGCUCAGGCAUAAUUAUAAGGAGGCGCAACGCAGAGUGGAGCACGAGACGGAGACUCGUCGUAAGGCGGAGUCGCUGUUGGUAGAAGUGAAGAAAAAGUUUGACGAGGAGCAAACGAGACGAGCGCGAGACGCUAGCAACUCGCAGCAGACGUCCGAGCGAGUGACGACGCUGGAGAAGCAGAUUAAAGAGAUGCAAUGCAAACUCGAGAGAGAAACGGAAACGGUUACGCGGUUGCGCAAGCAAGCGACGGAGAUCACCGUGGCGCGCCAAGCCGCUGAACAAAUGGCAAACGAGUUGCAAGUCGCCAGAGCUCAACUGCAAGCGCAGCGUGAUAACUUGCAGCAAGAAGUCGCUACUCUCCAGGGUCAGCUUUCCAAGGAACGUAGUUCGAGAUCGCAGGCGUCAUUGUUAACGGCUGAAUUGGAAACUCGUCUAACCACUUUACAUCUCGAGUUAGAACGCAGCCAGGAGAAGGAAGAGAAGGCUACUCUAGACAAUAGACAACUAACCGAAAGAGUUUCCGCGUUGGAGAAAGAAGCUGCUAGUUUAACCUUGGAAUUAAAAGCUGCGCAAGCCAGGUACAAUCAAGAAGUUGUAGCGCAUCAAGAAACGGAACGUUCGCGCAUUCUUUCCAAGGAGGAAGCCAAUCUGGAAGUUGUCAAAGGGCAAAAGAAUGGAAUUUUCAAAGCAAAACUAAACGAGGAGAAAAGUGGAAGACAACGUGCGGAAUUACUUGCGCAGGAAAAAGAACGUCAGACGUCGAUGCUCUCUGUCGAUUACAGACAGAUACAGCAACGGUUGCAGAAAUUAGAGGGCGAACAUAGGCAAGAAAUGGAAAAAGGCAAAGUUCUGCAGGGCCAAGUUGAGCAGGAGCAACAAAAAAGGAACGUUCUACAGACCGAAUUAGGCCAGCAAACGUCUGAAGCCGGCAGGCUUCGCGCUCGCGAGCAACAAUUAGUCGGAGAAGUUGCUCAAUUGAGAGAAGCUAAGCGGCAAAUAGAAGAGGAGUUACAUCAUUUGAAGACACAGAGAAACGUCGAUCAAUUGCAGACGAAAGAAUUGCAGGAGCAAUUGGAAGCCGAAGCUUAUUUCUCGACUCUAUACAAAACACAGACGCAAGAGUUGCGCGAGGAGUUGGACGAAAAAAUGAGGUCGCAACAAGAAUUGGAAGAAGAACGUAGUUCUCUGGUCCAUCAACUGCAAUUGUCGUUAGCGCGCGGAGACAGCGAAGCUCUGGCUAGAUCCAUAGCCGAGGAGACUGUGGCGGACUUGGAGAAAGAGAGAACCAUGAAAGAGCUGGAAUAUAAAGAUGGGAUAACAAAGCAUCAUCAGGAACUAAGCGCAAAGGAACAGAUCAUAAACAGACUUAAGGAGAAUGAGAGUGAAUUCAAGAAAUCGGUCGAUCAAGCUCUAAAGGAAAAAGAAGACUUGGGCAAACGAUAUAAAGAAUUGCAGGAACAACUUGGUAAAGCGCAGUCCAAUGUGGAAGAAAUUGAAAAGCUGAGCAGUAAACUCAAGACCGAGCAACUGCUGAAGCAGCAGGCGGUCAACAAGUUGGCCGAGAUUAUGAAUCGGAAGGAUCUUUCGUCAAGCGGGAAGAAUAAGAAUAAGGCUUCUGCUGCAGAUCUGAGGAAAAAGGAGAAAGAUUGCAGACGCCUGCAACAAGAACUCACUCAAGAGAGGGAAAAAUAUGGACAGCUGGCAGCUAAAUGGCAGAAAGAUUUACAGGAUUUGCAAGCACAACUCGUGGAAGAGAAUCAGGCCAAGUUGAGAUUGCAGAUGGAACUCGACUCGAAAGAUUCGGAAAUAGAAACGUUGCAGAUGAAAAUCGCGUCGCUCAAUUCGGAAACUGCAAGUGUCUCGUCUAUAGAGAAUGACGAUGGUGAAGACUCUGUUCUGUCCGAACAUGGUACGAUGAGAUUGGAAGGUUGGUUAAAUGUGCCAAAUAAGCAGAAUAUUAAGCGACACGGUUGGAAAAAGCAAUACGUCGUUGUUUCCUCCAAGAAGAUCAUUUUCUACAACAGCGAAAAUGACAAAAUGAACGCUGAUCCGGUUUUGAUAUUAGACUUGAAUAAAGUCUUCCACGUUAGAUCUGUUACUCAGGGUGAUGUUAUCCGAGCCAAUGCCAAAGAUAUACCGAGAAUAUUUCAGUUAUUGUAUGCUGGUGAAGGGGAAGCCAGGCGACCUGGAGACGAGGGAAAUACACUGCCUGGAGUGGAUUUACCACAGCUCACAGACAAACCCGGCACCCAAUCGCUCAAGGGCCACGAGUUUGUGUCAAUAUCUUAUCACAUGCCGACGACCUGCGAAGUCUGUUCAAAGCAACUCUGGCACAUGUUUCGACCUUCACCGGCCCUCGAAUGCCGAAGAUGCCGCAUUAAGGUUCACAAGGAGCACUUGGAUAAGAAGGAAGAUGCCAUAGCCCCGUGUAAGUUGCACUACGAUCCGAACAGCGCCCGUGAGCUACUGUUGCUCGCGGCGAAUCCCGAGGAUCAAAAGUAUUGGGUCUCGCGGCUGUCCAGGCGCGUUCAGAAAUGCGGCUACAAGGCCAACUCGCACGUGGAUGGCACGGGACAGCGCGUCUCGCCAAGGUAGCGUAGCCGUGCUGCUGCUCGACGUGAGCGGGGACUAAGUAGCUCUCUUAUUUUGUGGCGUCGCAUGAUGUGGGUGUAGAGAGGGAAUCUACAAGGUCGACCUUGAAGCCAUAUUUAUCGGUGCAACAACGAUCCGCUACGUUGCCAGCGAACGCCAGUAUGGGCAAGUGAUCUUUAAAGACGCUAAUAUUGGCGAUUCUCAAAAGAUUUCGCUCACGAUCUGAUAUCCCGCUUCCUUCGAUAGUGACAUCAGUAGAUAUCACGGGCUGUAACAAAUUACCACGACCUCGCAAUUUUCUCUGCGCAUCUGAUGACCGAAGUAGACUGUCAAUAAUUUUCCUAAAUCGAAAGUAAUCGAAAUAACGAUUGCGAUCGUAGUGUUACUGUUUGCAGCUAAGAGAAAGUGAAAAGCAAGUUGGAGAAUCGCUGGAGACAAAAACAGGGUUACUUAUAUACCGGGUGAUAGACGAAUAUGGUACGGAAAGGAGGAUAAAAAGGUAGGACGCCGUGCCCACAAUCUCUUUUCGCGCUCUAAAUUGUCGUUCCCAGAAUAACGAUAACACGGAACCAGAGAGAGAUGCGCUGUGUUCUUCGGAAUUGCUAGAUUGUUUUAUCGUGAGAACGAUGCUAAAAUAGUGUAAUAAUCUUUUUGUACAUUAUUCAUGAUACUCGCGAUAGACUGUAGAAUAUUCUUUCGAAGGAUGAUCGAAUUUCCUGAUUGGAACUAUACUCGACUUUAUACGCACAUUUCUUACUGCCUUUGAUAAUGUUUAACGACGAACCUUGAUGGAGACUUUUAGCUUAAGGCAUUUUUUGAAUGCUUUAAACCGAAAUUUUGGAAACGUAUAGUAAAGAAUAUAGUAUUUUGAAAUUGUUUUAUGUAUACAUAUAUAGAAUAUGUUCUCUGAAAAUGUGUGUCAGUAGAUACAUACGCGCAGAAGUCUUGCUUUUAACGUAACUUGCGUCUUAGAGCGGGUUUAUUCAACGUUUGAUAUUCGAAGUGCUUCUGUGGGUAAAAUUACAUUUUUUAAGAGAAGGUGUAAAUAACUAAACACGCGUCGGAGAAUCAACGUUUUCAUUCAAGUCUGGCAUGUGAAUCGGUUUCGCGGACAUUGCGCGAAGAAGAAGCAAUAUUGUAAAAUUGACCAGCGUAUGGCGCGUGUAGGGAGUAUACGAGUAGACAGCGGCGAGUGCCAGCUUGUAUAGUAGAGAUAACGAUUACGACUGUAAGUUAAGAAAUUUUUAUUACAAUGAUACACGAGCUAAUGACGUCCGCUGUAUCCCUGACGAAAAUAUAGAUAGAAGGGUAAAAAGAAAAAAAGACGCUAAGAGAGGAUAAACUAAGAAAGAAAAUCAUGCAUAAUCGAGAGGCUUAGAAGCUUCAUCGUGGUGCCAUACGGCUUGCUGGUCAUUUUUGGCAACGAAGGAAGCGAUAAAUAAGAAACGAAUGGAAAAUUAGAAGCGACAUUAGGAACCAUCUUAGGUUUAUUAUUAACGCGUCAUUGCCGUCUGUGUUCUUUUCAAAAUAUCUAUGCGAGGCUUUGUACCGCGCUAAGACUCGUCGAAAAGAGCUGUAUCGAGAACCGACAUCGACACGUUACCUAACUAUGGUUAACUAGAUUCUCCUUCUUCAUAAAUUGAAUUUACAGACAUUA
RNA transcript from Solenopsis invicta (red fire ant), 6652 nucleotides. It is a transcript of the gene named rho-associated protein kinase 1, with no coding region annotated. The transcript is spliced from 13 exons. Lineage: Eukaryota; Metazoa; Arthropoda; Insecta; Hymenoptera; Formicidae. The record is from RefSeq and is a predicted model, not a curated record.